ACGGCUCAGUAACACGUGGACAACCUACCCUUGGGACCAGUAUAAUCCUGGGAAACUGGGCAUAAUGCUGGAUAGGUCACAAUUGCUGGAAUGCAUUGUGACUCAAAGCUCCGGCGCCCAAGGAUGGGUCUGCGGCCUAUCAGGGUAGUAGUGGGUGUAAUGUACCUACUAGCCUACGACGGGUACGGGUUGUGAGAGCAAGAGCCCGGAGAUGGAUUCUGAGACACGAAUCCAGGCCCUACGGGGUGCAGCAGGCGCGAAAACUUUACAAUGCGGGAAACCGUGAUAAGGGGAUCUCGAGUGCCAGCAUAUAAUGUUGGCUGUCCAGAUGCUUAAAAAGCAUUUGUUAGCAAGGGCCGGGCAAGACCGGUGCCAGCCGCCGCGGUAACACCGGCGGCCCGAGUAGUAACCGUUAUUAUUGGGUCUAAAGGGUCUGUAGCCGGCCAAGUAAGUCCUUUGGGAAAUCUGGUAGCUCAACUAUCAGGCUGCCAGGGGAUACUGCUUGGCUUGGGACCGGGAGAGGUGAGAGGUACCUCAGGGGUAGGGGUGAAAUCUUGUGAUCCUUGAGGGACCACCAGUGGCGAAGGCGUCUCACCAGAACGGGUCCGACGGUAAGGGACGAAAGCUAGGGGCACGAACCGGAUUAGAUACCCGGGUAGUCCUAGCCGUAAACGAUGCUCGCUAGGUGUCAGUCACGGUGCGACCGUGAUUGGUGCCGUAGGGAAGCCGUGAAGCGAGCCACCUGGGAAGUAUGGCCGCAAGGCUGAAACUUAAAGGAAUUGGCGGGAGAAACAC
Molecule: ribosomal RNA, 795 nt
Filed under: uncultured archaeon
Lineage: Archaea
Description: bacterial SSU rRNA
Rfam family: Archaeal small subunit ribosomal RNA
Source: RNAcentral